GGACGAAGCUUCCAGAGCCGCGUUGUUGAGGAAGAUCUCAAUCCCCACUGGAACGAGGUCUUUGAGGUGAUCGUCACAUCAAUUCCAGGCCAAGAGCUAGAGAUUGAGGUUUUUGACAAGGACCUGGACAAGGAUGACUUUCUGGGCAGGUGUAAAGUGAGUCUCACCACAGUCCUAAACAAUGGCUUCCUUGAUGAGUGGCUGACCCUGGAGGAUGUCUCAUCUGGCUGCCUACACUUGCGUCUGACCCCCCGUCCCACUGCUGCUGAGUUAGAGGAGGUGCUGCAGAUGAACAGUCUGAUCCAGACUGAGAAGAGUGCAGAACUGGCGGCAGCCCUGCUCUCUUGUCUACCUGGAGCAGGCUGAGGACCUGCAGCUCCGAAAAGGUACCAAGCCUCCCAGCCCUUAUGUACUCUUGCUUUGGGAGAUACUUCUCAUAAAACUAAGACUGUUUUCCAAAUGUCAGCCCCUGUCUGGGAUGAGAGUGCCUCCUCUCUCAUCAGGAAACCAAACUCUGAGAGCCUGCAGUUGCAGGUUCCGGGUGAGGGGACUGGCACACUGGGCUUGUUAUCCUUGCCUCUCUCUGAGCUUCUCGUGGCUGACCAGCUCUGCUCGGACUACUGGUUUGUGCUCAGCAAUGGUCCAGGGCAGGAGCUACUGCAAGCACAGCUAGGGAUCCUGGUGUCCCAGCACUCAGGGGUGGAAGUUCACAGCCACAGCUACAGCCACAGCUCUUCUUCUCUGAGCGAAGAACCAGAGCUCUGGGGGGGACUCCCUCACAUCACUUCCUCAGCCCCAGAGCUCCGGCAGCGCCUAACACACAGUGACAGUUCCCUUGAGGCUCCAGCCUGGACUCUGGGCCAGGUGAAACUGACUGUUUGGUACUACAGUGAAGAACGCAAGCUCAUCAGCAUCAUUCACAGUUGCUGGGCCCUUCGACAAAAUGGAUGGUAUCCCCCCGACCUCUACGUGUCACUGUUGCUACUGCCAGACAAGAACUGGGCCACCAAGAGGAAGACCUCACAGAAGAAGAGGACCCUAAAUCCUGAAUUCAAUGAACAGUUUGAGUGGGAAUUGCCCCUGGAUGAGGCCUUUCGGCGAAAGCUGGAUGUCUCUGUGAAGUCUAGUUCCUCCUUCAUGUCAAGAGAGCAUGAGCUGCUGAGGAAGGUGCAGUUGGACCUCGCUGAGAUAGACCUUUCCCAGGGUGCAGUCCAGUGGUAUGACCUCGUGGAUGACAAGGACAAGGGCAGCUCCUAGGAGCCAGAGAUUACCAGCCUGACUGCUCUGUCUCCUCGCCUCGCCUCUCGCCGCAUCACCACCUCAAUGUGAUGAGCCUAAAGCUUGGAGUCCGAGGGCAGAGCCUGCACCCCUCAGCCAUCUCACCUCCGAGGCCCAUGAUAGGGCCUUUGCAUGACCAAAGAGGAGCACUGUAUGUUACCCUUUACUGCACGGCCUUUAUCCUUCUGGGCUCCUGGGACAGGGACGUGAGCUGGCUAUUUCCUGCUCUGCCUGCACAUUCUCCUUUCUGCCCAACUCCUCAGGACCUUCUGUGUCUGUGCCUGGCCACUGGCAGCACUAGCAGUGGCAUUAGCUUAUGCCAAAUAC
Molecule: RNA transcript, 1605 nt
Organism: Lipotes vexillifer (Yangtze River dolphin)
Lineage: Eukaryota; Metazoa; Chordata; Mammalia; Artiodactyla; Lipotidae
Gene name: extended synaptotagmin-1 pseudogene
Exons: 1
Source: RefSeq, a predicted model, not a curated record